Molecule: small nucleolar RNA, 126 nt
Organism: Rattus rattus (black rat)
Lineage: Eukaryota; Metazoa; Chordata; Mammalia; Rodentia; Muridae
Product: small nucleolar RNA SNORA17
Exons: 1
Source: RefSeq, a predicted model, not a curated record
GAUGUUCCUGGAGGCACUGCAGAUGUGACCGCUGUGUCACUUGUGUGCCAGUAUGUGGCAGUGAAGUAAGGCUAUGCCUAUGCUCAGUGUUCUGAACUGUACCUGAAUGAUUAGUAGCCUAACAUU